GUCCCAGUUAGCGUGAUGGCUAGCACGUUGGACUUCUCAUCCAAAGGUCGUGGGUUCGAAUCCCACCUGGGAUG
Non-coding RNA from Trichonephila clavipes, 74 nucleotides. The record is from the annotation of a GenBank genome assembly. Lineage: Eukaryota; Metazoa; Arthropoda; Arachnida; Araneae; Nephilidae.